UCUCAGUUCGGACNGUAGGCUGCAACUCGCCUACACGAAGUUGGAAUUGCUAGUAAUCGUGGAUCAGCAUGCCACGGUGAAUACGUUCCCGGGUCUUGUACACACCGCCCGUCACACCAUGGGAGCUGGUAACACCCGAAGUCGGUAGUCUAACCGCAAGGAGGACGCCGCCGAAGGUGGGGUUGAUGAUUAGGGUUAAGUCGUAACAAGGUACC
Molecule: ribosomal RNA, 215 nt
Filed under: uncultured bacterium
Lineage: Bacteria
Description: partial 16S ribosomal RNA
Rfam family: Bacterial small subunit ribosomal RNA
Source: RNAcentral